AGUGCAGUUGCUGGUAGCUACAUUUUUUAUUUUUUAAGAAACUGCUCAGCUGUUUUUCACAAUGGCUGUACAGUUGUACAUUUCCUCCAGCAAU
RNAcentral lists this microRNA precursor (94 nucleotides) under Marmota monax (woodchuck). Lineage: Eukaryota; Metazoa; Chordata; Mammalia; Rodentia; Sciuridae. The record is from RNAcentral.